GCGGACGGGUGAGUAAUGUCUGGGAAACUGCCUGAUGGAGGGGGAUAACUACUGGAAACGGUAGCUAAUACCGCAUAACGUCGCAAGACCAAAGAGGGGGACCUUCGGGCCUCUUGCCAUCGGAUGUGCCCAGAUGGGAUUAGCUAGUAGGUGAGGUAACGGCUCACCUAGGCGACGAUCCCUAGCUGGUCUGAGAGGAUGACCAGCCACACUGGAACUGAGACACGGUCCAGACUCCUACGGGAGGCAGCAUG
RNAcentral lists this ribosomal RNA (254 nucleotides) under uncultured bacterium. RNAcentral describes it as "partial 16S ribosomal RNA". It matches the Rfam family "Bacterial small subunit ribosomal RNA", at positions 98 to 353 of the family's 1533-position model. The record is from RNAcentral.